Molecule: ribosomal RNA, 253 nt
Filed under: uncultured bacterium
Lineage: Bacteria
Description: partial 16S ribosomal RNA
Rfam family: Bacterial small subunit ribosomal RNA
Source: RNAcentral
UACAGAGGUCUCGAGCGUUAGGCGGAAUCACUGGGCUUAAAGCGUGUGUAGGCGGAUCGUUAAGUACCUUGUGAAAUCCCACGGCUUAACCGUGGAACUGCUUGGUAUACUGUCGGUCUUGAGCCAGCUAGGGGCUACCGGAACAAAUGGUGGAGCGGUGAAAUGCGUAGAUAUCAUUUGGAACGCCAAUGGUGAAAACAGGUAGCUGGGGCUGUGCUGACGCUGAGACACGAAAGCCAGGGGAGCAAACGGG